Molecule: long non-coding RNA, 1285 nt
Organism: Phyllostomus discolor (pale spear-nosed bat)
Lineage: Eukaryota; Metazoa; Chordata; Mammalia; Chiroptera; Phyllostomidae
Exons: 2
Source: RefSeq, a predicted model, not a curated record
CUGGCCCUAUCAUGCAGCUGCCGUGUGACUGGCCGAACCUCUUACGUUGCCCAGGCAGUUUCCUUGUACGCGGAGGUGGCAAGAACCUCCCCACCGCUGGUGGGAAUUCUGUGGAAUCGUCGUUAAGAGGUAUGGGGCCCUGGACGAGGAGCCAGAGCCAAUGAGAGCUUCGGGUGUCACAGUGGUGGGAGAGACAGCAAACCAAAACCACAAGUCAUGCAUGCAGCAGAAGCAUGUUCAGAGGAGACAAUUUGACCUCCAGAUGUACCCAGAACCAAAAGACUGGGACAUGAAUGGAACUUGAACACUGGAACCCUUUUAGAAGCAAAGGGUUAGUUGGUUGUCCUAGGAUUUGGUGAUGAAGCCCCUUAUCAUAUCUUACCAUAAAUGGCCAAGGUCCAAAGCUCUUCAAUCAAAACCUGCCCCACAGCACUUCUGUAUACCUGCCUGUUCCCUGUUCCUCCAACCUCUUAAAACUUGCCCUGGACCAGAAGACAGAUUUGAGCCUUGUUUCCUGUCUAACCUUGCUGGUUGACUUUGCAAUAAAACAAACCUUGUAUUUUCUUAAAAGCAAACGUUGUAGUAUCGGCUUUUAUGUGCAUUGGGCAGUGAGUCCUUGCUUGGUGAUUGGGAGUAAUUUGUUAUCCAUGAACAGAUAAUAGAAAUUUGUAGACCUCCCAUCUUCAAACCCAUCAACUGUGUUGAUGUAGAAAUUGGGGCCUCCCAACCAACACGUCCCACCAUAAACUCAUUCUCUUUCCCUCAAACCUGCUUCUGUUUUGUCUCAAUCAUUGGCACCACCAACUGCAUGCGUAGUUGCCCAGAAUAUGGGAGUCAUCUUUUCUUCUCAUCCCCCCAAUAUAGUCUUUUUAUUCCUUUUAAAUAUCUCUUGAAUUUAUCUGAUUCUUUUUAUCCCUUCUACCUUGUAGUGCAGACCAUCACUUUUUCCCCUAAUAGUCUCCUGGGUUGUCUUCCUACCUCCAGUUUUGCAUCUUGUCCAUUCUCUGCCCUUCAGUUGGAAUGAUCUUUGUAAAGCUGAUUAUAUCAAACCUGAUCAUGCUUACAGUAAUUGCCAGUCAAAAUAGACAGUUCUUGUAAAGGAAUACUACAGGUAGUUACAAUAGAACUGAAUAUUAAAGGAAAGUAAUUAUCUUGAGCCAAAUAUGUAAAUUAGGUUUUAAGAAUUAAUAUGUACUGUGACAUCUGAGGAACAAAUCAAAGUAAUUAGAGUGUAUACUCCUAAUGGCCAUCAUUUAUUUUAGAUUGGGAAGUAUAUAGUUCAUUA